Molecule: ribosomal RNA, 253 nt
Filed under: uncultured bacterium
Lineage: Bacteria
Description: partial 16S ribosomal RNA
Rfam family: Bacterial small subunit ribosomal RNA
Source: RNAcentral
UACGAAGGGGGCUAGCGUUGCUCGGAAUCACUGGGCGUAAAGCGCACGUAGGCGGAUUGCUAAGUCAGGGGUGAAAUCCUGGAGCUCAACUCCAGAACUGCCCUUGAUACUGGCGGUCUCGAGUCCGGGAGAGGUGAGUGGAACUGCGAGUGUAGAGGUGAAAUUCGUAGAUAUUCGCAAGAACACCAGCGGCGAAGGCGGCUCACUGGCCCGGUACUGACGCUGAGGUGCGAAAGCGUGGGGAGCAAACAGG